RNAcentral lists this ribosomal RNA (800 nucleotides) under uncultured bacterium. Its description in RNAcentral is "bacterial SSU rRNA". It matches the Rfam family "Bacterial small subunit ribosomal RNA", at positions 8 to 788 of the family's 1533-position model. The record is from RNAcentral.
AGAGUUUGAUCCUGGCUCAGGACGAACGCUGGCGGCGUGCCUAAUACAUGCAAGUCGAGCGAAGUUUUUCUGGUGCUUGCACCGGAAAAACUUAGCGGCGAACGGGUGAGUAACACGUAAAGAACCUGCCUCAUAGACUGGGACAACUAUUGGAAACGAUAGCUAAUACCGGAUAAUAGCAUUAACUGCAUGGUUGAUGUUUAAAAGUUGGUUUUGCUAACACUAUGAGAUGGCUUUGCGGUGCAUUAGCUAGUUGGUGGGGUAAAGGCCUACCAAGGCGACGAUGCAUAGCCGACCUGAGAGGGUGAUCGGCCACACUGGGACUGAGACACGGCCCAGACUCCUACGGGAGGCAGCAGUAGGGAAUCUUCCGCAAUGGGCGAAAGCCUGACGGAGCAACGCCGCGUGAGUGAAGAAGGAUUUCGGUUCGUAAAGCUCUGUUGUUAGGGAAGAAUGAUUGUGUAGUAACUAUACACAGUAGAGACGGUACCUAACCAGAAAGCCACGGCUAACUACGUGCCAGCAGCCGCGGUAAUACGUAGGUGGCAAGCGUUGUCCGGAAUUAUUGGGCGUAAAGCGCGCGCAGGUGGUUUAAUAAGUCUGAUGUGAAAGCCCACGGCUCAACCGUGGAGGGUCAUUGGAAACUGUUAAACUUGAGUGCAGGAGAGAAAAGUGGAAUUCCUAGUGUAGCGGUGAAAUGCGUAGAGAUUAGGAGGAACACCAGUGGCGAAGGCGGCUUUUUGGCCUGUAACUGACACUGAGGCGCGAAAGCGUGGGGAGCAAACAGGAUUAGAUACCCU